This 440-nucleotide long non-coding RNA is filed under the name Homo sapiens (human). Its description in RNAcentral is "HSALNT0374415". The record is from RNAcentral. Lineage: Eukaryota; Metazoa; Chordata; Mammalia; Primates; Hominidae.
CGCUUCCUUGGUGAAAGACCCCAACAGAACUUAGAAUGCUAGUAACCAGGCACCCACAUUCUACUAAAAGCCCUAUAGGCAGCUUACUUGACAGCAAAUGCUCAAGAGAGCAAAAUGUCCUCCUGCUGGAUCCUGACUUUCCAAGGCUCUCACUUCAGGUCUUCCUGAGGGAUGCCAAGGAUGCCAACAUGGGCUUAUUUCUCACCUCAGAUGCCUCUGGCCAAUUGGCAAGGGGCACCCACAGAGAGCUCCAAUCCUGUUUCAGCUGCCAACUCAAAUGCUGCUUUCUACAUGAUAUACCUCCUGCAAUAAAGCUCUAAGAUGGAAGAAAGACUAUGAAAUAAAGAGCAUUUUUUAGUAUUCUAGAAAAUACUGAGGUCUGAAUAGCAUCCUGGAGUUCAUCAGUUGAUGUGGCCUGUGAGCUCUACAAUUGGCCUCCC